GGGAAGAGAUGUUUGUGCAUGCAUCUGCAGCACUGGGCUGUGUGAAAGUUUUCCUUGUGGAAAAACUCCAACAUUAGUGUGGAUGGUGGUUUCUUUAAGUGCAAUUACGGUGCAGCAUAAUUCUCAUCAUCACCCUGACUAUAGCUGAGUGUCUUAGCAGUUGCACAGAGCAAUUCUGUCCUACAGCUUGGCAACAUGAAAGAUGCACAAACGUGGAGCUGUUUCAUGAUCUGUGGAACUAAUAAUCUAGUUUCUUACUGAUUUGUGUUUUCUCUUUGCAUCUUUAUGGAAACAGGUUGGAAAGACAGUCCUUUUUGGAUGCUGACAUAUAAAGCUCCAUAAUCUUUACUUUCUGGUAGAAGAAAGGAGGCCAAAGAAAAUGCCUUAAACAGUCUCUCUGAUUAAAUUAAUAUAGGGAUGUUGUGCAGGGAUCGAUAAUAACUUGAAAUAUGGCUUAGCCGCAUUAUCAAGCUUUUAACUUUUCUAAGGUUUAAUUUUAUAGUUACUGUGGCUGUGCAAUGGCAUGUCAUGAUUUGCUUUUUGUGUGUUUACUGGAUGUGAAAGAGAUGCGCUUCCUCCCAGUAGCAUGCGCCAGCUCUGCUCCCUGCUGGCUUGCUUUUGCACUGACCCUGACUGGAGAGAGCUGUCUGAAUUCUAAACAGGGGGUGUAAAUCAGGUUGUUUAAGCUUGUCUUGCUGAGAGCAGUGCAUUGCCAAUGACACAAGCAGCAAAGCAGUGAAUUGUGUUAAAGGAGAAGUAAUGUGUGACUGCCUGAGACUGGUAUGUGCUUCAGGACUUUUAUUCCCUUAAUGUGAGUGUAGAAUGACUUGUCUCACUAGACUGUAAACCCUCAAUGAGUAGUCCAUUGCUUUAGGGCUACAGAUGUCGAAUGUUAAAGUAUGCCUUGGUGAAACAUUGGGGUUUUUCUUUUACAUGUCACUUAAAUGACAAACACAGAAUGGCACUCAGAGGGGGUAUGCACAUACUCUUAUAAAGGAAAAGUAAAAUACUGGGUGUUUUUAUUUCUGUCACAGUGGAAGGUGGGUAAGUAGACCUUUGUGCCAGGAUUAGUGCCUUUAAAUUAUGACAUUACAGGCUUUAUUCUGUUAAAGGCAACAUCUAUCAUUGUGAUCGUUUUGCAGUGCUUCAAUAAAGUGUUGUUGAAAAC
This 1168-nucleotide long non-coding RNA is filed under the name Strigops habroptila (Kakapo). RNAcentral's name for it is "lncRNA (ENSSHBG00005021163.1)". The record is from RNAcentral. Lineage: Eukaryota; Metazoa; Chordata; Aves; Psittaciformes; Psittacidae.